GGAUGGUCAGCCACGCUGGGACUGAGACACUGCCCAGACUCCUACGGGAGGCUGCAGUCGAGAAUCUUCCGCAAUGGGCGCAAGCCUGACGGAGCGACGCCGCGUGGAGGAUUGAAGGCCUUCGGGUUGUAAACUCCUUUCAAGGAGAGACGAAUGGCCGUGCGUUAAUAGCGGGCGGUUUGACGGUAUCUCCAGAAGAAGCUCCGGCUAACCCUGUGCCAGCAGCCGCGGUAAUACAGGGGGAGCGAACGUUGCUCGGAAUUACUGGGCAUAAAGGGCACGUAGGCGGCUUUGCAAGUUGGAUGUGAAAGACCCUGGCUCAACCAGGGAAAUGCAUCCAAAACUGUGGAGCUAGAGGCCGAGAGGGGUGAGUGGAACUCCCGGUGGAGCGGUGAAAUGCGUUGAUAUCAGGAGGAACGCCGGUGGUGAAAACGACUCACUGGUUCGGUUCUGACGCUGAGGUGCGAAAGCUAGGGUAGCGAACGGGAUUAGAUACCCCGGUAGUCCUAGCCGUAAACGAUGGGCACUAGGUAGGGGGGGUUUCUAUGGCUCUCUCUGCCGAAGCUAAUGUGCUAAGUGCCCCGCCUGGGGAGUAUGCUCGCAAGGGUAAAACUCAAAGGAAUUGACGGGGGCUCACACAAGCGGUGGAGCAUGUGGUUUAAUUCGAUACCACGCGAAGAACCUUACCCGGAUUUGACAUGUACGGAUUAGCUUUCUGAAAGGAAAGUGACACCCUCUGGGUGGAACGUGCGCAGGUGUUGCAUGGCUGUCGUCAGCUCGUGUCGUGAGAUGUCGGGUUAAGUCCCAUAACGAGCGAAACCCUUAUCACUAGUUACCAGCGGUUCGGCCGGGGACUCUAGUGAGACUGCCGUUGUCAAAACGGAGGAAGGUGGGGACGACGUCAAGUCAUCAUGGCCCUUAUAUCCGGGGUGACACACGUGCUACAAUGGCCGGCACAACGGGUUCCAAGACCGCGAGGUGGAGGCAAUCCCUUAAAGCCGGUCCCAGUUCGGAUUGCAGUCUGAAACUCGACUGCAUGAAGUUGGAAUCGCUAGUAAUCGCGGAUCAGCCAUGCCGCGGUGAAUAUGUUCCUGAGCCUUGUACACACCGCCCGUCAAGCCACGAAAGCCGGGAGUGCCUGAAGUCGCUAGUCUAACCCGCAAGGGAGGGCAGUGCCGACGGCAAGCUCGGUGAUUGGGACUAAGUCGUAGCAAGGUA
This 1218-nucleotide ribosomal RNA is filed under the name metagenome. RNAcentral describes it as "bacterial SSU rRNA". It matches the Rfam family "Bacterial small subunit ribosomal RNA", at positions 298 to 1498 of the family's 1533-position model. The record is from RNAcentral.